RNAcentral lists this non-coding RNA (117 nucleotides) under Gorilla gorilla gorilla (western lowland gorilla). The record is from Rfam by way of RNAcentral. Lineage: Eukaryota; Metazoa; Chordata; Mammalia; Primates; Hominidae.
GCUGGGCACGGUGGCUUAUGCCUGUAAUCCCAGCACUUUGGGAGGCCGAGGUGGGUGGAUCACCUGAGGUCAGGAGUUCAAGACCAGCCUGACCAACAUGGUGAAACCCCAUCUCUA